UUGUGUUCUCGUCUGUUUUGUUCCGGGAAAUUCGUCGCGCACGCCAGUGCCUCAAGCAAUGAGAUGGCCAAAUUCUGUGUUUAAUGGGGUGCUGUCAGCUCUGGUCCUGGAGCAGCCGCCACAAACCUGCUGGCUUUCUGACGGCUGCUGCAGGUCACUGAAGGGGUCGAUGAUGUCAUCGAUGACA
Molecule: long non-coding RNA, 187 nt
Organism: Nerophis lumbriciformis (worm pipefish)
Lineage: Eukaryota; Metazoa; Chordata; Actinopteri; Syngnathiformes; Syngnathidae
Source: RefSeq, a predicted model, not a curated record